CUGGGCUAUGGGGACAUGUACCCCGAGACGUGGUCGGGGAUGCUGGUGGGUGCGCUGUGCGCCCUGGCGGGGGUGUUGACCAUCGCCAUGCCUGUGCCCGUCAUCGUCAACAAU
Molecule: non-coding RNA, 114 nt
Organism: Salmo salar (Atlantic salmon)
Lineage: Eukaryota; Metazoa; Chordata; Actinopteri; Salmoniformes; Salmonidae
Source: Rfam